Bolinopsis microptera is the source of this 344-nucleotide long non-coding RNA. RefSeq lists it as uncharacterized. The record is from RefSeq and is a predicted model, not a curated record. The transcript has 3 exons. Lineage: Eukaryota; Metazoa; Ctenophora; Tentaculata; Lobata; Bolinopsidae.
ACGACAACCGGGGAUGGAGUUCUUGUACUGAAACAGAAAAACAUUAAAUGUAAAACAACACAAGCUCAGAGAUUCAAGAAGAAAGAAAGAAAACAAAAAGCUUAUAAAGCUAAGGUGAGUAAAAACAAACAUGGACAAUGCAGAACAGAAUCCCUAUCAUUUGGAAUUAAUUUACACAACGGAUUCGAAAGACUAGGCCUAGGAGAAGAGCUGUGCAACAAUUCAAAAAAUGAAGAAUGUCAUUCAUACGAAAAUAGGACAACAGGGGAUGAAGCUGUCGCACCAAAAAAGAAACCCAUUAGAAAAACAAGAGCUCAGCGAAACAAAAAGAAAGAAGAAAAACG